Molecule: unclassified non-coding RNA, 305 nt
Filed under: uncultured fungus
Lineage: Eukaryota; Fungi
Description: partial contains 5.8S ribosomal RNA and internal transcribed spacer 2
Rfam family: 5.8S ribosomal RNA (bases 2-133)
Source: RNAcentral
CGGUUCUGGCAUCGAUGAAGAACGCAGCAAAAUGCGAUAAGUAAUGUGAAUUGCAGAAUUCAGUGAAUCAUCGAAUCUUUGAACGCACAUUGCGCCCUUUGGUAUUCCGAAGGGCAUGCCUGUUUGAGCGUCAUUUAGAACCCUCAAGCCUUGCUUGGUAUUGGGCGAGGUCUUGGACCCGCCCGCAACUGGUUGGCGGUACCGUCUGUACCCAAGCGUAGCAAACUCUCGCUCAGGGCCUCCGGCGGUUCCGCCAGAUAACACACCCACGGUUUGACCUCGGAUCAGGUAGGGAUACCCGCUGA